This 420-nucleotide ribosomal RNA is filed under the name uncultured Nocardioides sp. RNAcentral describes it as "bacterial SSU rRNA". It matches the Rfam family "Bacterial small subunit ribosomal RNA", at positions 897 to 1320 of the family's 1533-position model. Lineage: Bacteria; Bacillati; Actinomycetota; Actinomycetes; Propionibacteriales; Nocardioidaceae. The record is from RNAcentral.
AAACUCAAAGGAAUUGACGGGGGCCCGCACAAGCGGCGGAGCAUGCGGAUUAAUUCGAUGCAACGCGAAGACCCUUACCUGGGUUUGACAUAUGCCGGAAAGCGCCAGAGAUGGUGCCCCUUUUUGUCGGUAUACAGGUGGUGCAUGGCUGUCGUCAGCUCGUGUCGUGAGAUGUUGGGUUAAGUCCCGCAACGAGCGCAACCCUCGUCCUAUGUUGCCAGCACGUUAUGGUGGGGACUCAUAGGAGACUGCCGGGGUCAACUCGGAGGAAGGUGGGGAUGACGUCAAGUCAUCAUGCCCCUUAUGUCCAGGGCUUCACGCAUGCUACAAUGGCCGGUACAAAGGGCUGCGAUGCUGUAAGGCGGAGCGAAUCCCAAAAAGCCGGUCUCAGUUCGGAUUGGGGUCUGCAACUCGACCCCA